CGCCGGGUGGCCGACGGCGACGCGGUGUUCAGCCCGCGGCUGGCCGGCUUCGUGCUGGACGCGUUCGCGUCGCGGCCCGACGUCC
This 85-nucleotide transfer RNA is filed under the name Actinoplanes nipponensis. RNAcentral's name for it is "tRNA-Ala". The record is from RNAcentral. Lineage: Bacteria; Bacillati; Actinomycetota; Actinomycetes; Micromonosporales; Micromonosporaceae.